GAUGAACGCUGGCGGCGUGCUUAACACAUGCAAGUCGAACGACGAAGCCCAGCUUGCUGGGUGUUAUAGUGGCGAACGGGUGAGUAAGACGUGAGUAAACCGGACUUUACUCUGGGAUAAGGCUGGACGAAUGGGUACAGAAGUUGAUAUGACUUAUCAUCUAAGGGUGGGGGGAGGGGAGCUUAUUUGGUCUUGGAUGGAGUUGAGGCGUAUCAGCUUGUUGGAGUAGUAUUGGUACACCAAGGCGACGACGGGUAUCCGGCGUGGGAGGGGGACCGGCCACCCUGGGACUGAGACACGGCCCAGUCUCCUACGGGGGGCAGCGGUGGGGAAUAUGGCACAAUGGGCGCAAGCCUGAUGCAGCGACGCCGCGUGUGGGAUGACGGCCUUCGGGUUGUAAACCGCUUUCAGUAGGGAAGAAGCGAGAGUGACGGUACCUGCAGAAUAAGCGCCGGCUAACUACGUG
Molecule: ribosomal RNA, 466 nt
Filed under: uncultured bacterium
Lineage: Bacteria
Description: partial 16S ribosomal RNA
Rfam family: Bacterial small subunit ribosomal RNA
Source: RNAcentral